AGCUUUGCGCAGAGGCAAUACCAUAAUCAAUGAAGGUUUACUGAGAUGUGGUUAUUGCUAGUUGAAAACUUUACCCAAUACCCUGCCAAUACGACUCGUCUAGAGUCGGAUUAGGCAAUUUUUGGAGGUCUCUAAGGAGG
RNAcentral lists this small nuclear RNA (140 nucleotides) under Strigamia maritima. RNAcentral describes it as "U4 spliceosomal RNA". It matches the Rfam family "U4 spliceosomal RNA". From Rfam's summary of the family: U4 small nuclear RNA (U4 snRNA) is a component of the major U2-dependent spliceosome. The record is from Rfam by way of RNAcentral. Lineage: Eukaryota; Metazoa; Arthropoda; Chilopoda; Geophilomorpha; Linotaeniidae.